RNAcentral lists this ribosomal RNA (468 nucleotides) under uncultured bacterium. RNAcentral's name for it is "partial 16S ribosomal RNA". It matches the Rfam family "Bacterial small subunit ribosomal RNA", at positions 28 to 507 of the family's 1533-position model. The record is from RNAcentral.
GACGAACGCUGGCGGCGUGCUUAACACAUGCAAGUCGAACGGAAAGGCCCUGCUUUUGUGGGGUGCUCGAGUGGCGAACGGGUGAGUAACACGUGAGUAACCUGCCCUUGACUUUGGGAUAACUUCAGGAAACUGGUGCUAAUACCGGAUAGGAGCUCCUGCUGCAUGGUGGGGGUUGGAACGUUUCGGCGGUUGGGGAUGGACUCGCGGCUUAUCAGCUUGUUGGUGGGGUAGUGGCUUACCGAGGCUUUGACGGGUAGCCGGCCUGAGAGGGUGACCGGCCACAUUGGGGCUGAGAUACGGCCCAGACUCCUACGGGAGGCAGCAGUGGGGAAUAUUGCACAAUGGGCGGAAGCCUGAUGCAGCAACGCCGCGUGCGGGAUGACGGCCUUCGGGUUGUAAACCGCUUUCGCCUGUGACGAAGCGUGAGUGACGGUAAUGGGUAAAGAAGCACCGGCUAACUACGUG